UACGUAGGGGGCAAGCGUUGUCCGGAAUCAUUGGGCGUAAAGAGCGUGUAGGCGGCCCGGUAAGUCCGCUGUGAAAGUCGGGGGCUCAACCCUCGAAUGCCGGUGGAUACUGUCGGGCUUGAGUACGGAAGAGGCGAGUGGAAUUCCUGGCGUAGCGGUGAAAUGCGCAGAUAUCAGGAGGAACACCAAUUGCGAAGGCAGCUCGCUGGGACGUUACUGACGCUGAGACGCGAAAGCGUGGGGAGCAAACAGG
RNAcentral lists this ribosomal RNA (253 nucleotides) under uncultured bacterium. RNAcentral describes it as "partial 16S ribosomal RNA". It matches the Rfam family "Bacterial small subunit ribosomal RNA", at positions 524 to 776 of the family's 1533-position model. The record is from RNAcentral.